This 272-nucleotide ribosomal RNA is filed under the name uncultured Marivita sp. RNAcentral's name for it is "partial 16S ribosomal RNA". It matches the Rfam family "Bacterial small subunit ribosomal RNA", at positions 355 to 644 of the family's 1533-position model. The record is from RNAcentral. Lineage: Bacteria; Pseudomonadati; Pseudomonadota; Alphaproteobacteria; Rhodobacterales; Roseobacteraceae.
UGGGGAAUCUUAGACAAUGGGCGCAAGCCUGAUCUAGCCAUGCCGCGUGAGUCAAGAAGGCCCUACGGUCGUAAAGCUCUUUCGCCUGUGAAGAUAAUGACUGUAGCAGGUAAAGAAACCCCGGCUAACUCCGUGCCAGCAGCCGCGGUAAUACGGAGGGGGUUAGCGUUGUUCGGAAUUACUGGGCGUAAAGCGCGCGUAGGCGGACAUUUAAGUCAGAGGUCAAAUCCCAGGGCUCAACCCUGGAACUGCCUUUCAUACUGGGUGUCUUG